UUAAAAUCGCCAGUAUUAGGCACAUGCGAUACUACCUGGGUCAGUAAGAGAUUGGUCAUGCAACGAAGUUAUUAAUAUAUUAAUGAUUUUACCCAAUUAUUUAUUUCAGGUUUUGCUUGAUUAAUGCUGCCCUAGUUUACUUCUAUGCAUCAAGUUUCCAAGGUGUUGAUGAAGAAGAAUUUGGAGGAAUGUGGGAACUUACCAAAGAAGGAUUUGUCACAUCAUUUGCAGGUUUUUUGGUUAUGUGGAUAAUCCUAUAUUCCGGUUUACAUUAUGACUGACAUUACCCUAGACAAAAUAUUUUUUAGACCAUACAUUUUCAGUGUUUUAUGAACAAGAAAGGGGAUUUCACAGUUGGUCUUGGUUUAUAAAGCAGAUUAUGAUUUAUUAUCAACACUGUCAUAAUUGUGGUAUGCAGUUUUGCUAAAAAUUCAUUUUAAAAUAUGAAAUUUCUUAAAACAAAAUUGGAGUCUGUCAAGUCAUUGGACAUAAAUGCUUACUGGUUUAAGCAUGAUAAUUUUUGUAUCUACAAACAGUGAUAUGUUAUUGUUGGAUCAUAAAAGGGAUGAUAUUGCUUUGCCAAAAAUUGUGAAAAUACCAUUCAUUAUGUACGGUGUACAAGCAAAACACCAACUACACUUGUUACAGUAGUGCCACCCAGAAGUUCAGUGAGUAAUUAAUAGAUGAAAGUGUUUUUUUGAUAUUGAUUGAAUAUGAAAAGUAAUCAGAUCUAGGGCUCUCCUGAGAUUGGUGCUUUAGAGUAUUAUUAUAUUUUAUUUAUAUUAUUUUUUGUGGAAGAGUAUGCUUUUUAUUGUGACAUUUGGGAAUACCAUUGCAAUAUUUUAUAUAAACAAAAAAGUGAGAAGAAAGUAAUGUCAUGGUCACAGUUUAUGUCAGCCUAACAGUUUCUCAUAAAAACAAUUGCAUAUUUUCACUUGUUUGCAAGCAAUAUAUUUAUAUGGAUUACUAUUGUUAGACAGCAAUAUAUGAAUUAUGACUAAUUUUUUUCUGAAUAUACAGUGGUACCUGAAGUUUUCUUGUAUCCAGCAAUUUUCAUUUCAAGUAAUUUGAUAAUGAUCUGGCUUUAAUCACAAAAUUAGAAGAAAUAACUCAUUUAGAAAUCAGGACUUCAAUCAAAAUGUCUUAUGGAAUAUUGGACCAUUUUGGGAUGGAUUGGAUUCUGUUGGUACAUGAUAUUUGAUGUUUUCUAAAAUAAUUGAAAUUGCCUUGAAUUCUUUCUAUGACAUUUUUAUGAAAUAAAUAAUGCAGAAA
Molecule: long non-coding RNA, 1272 nt
Organism: Penaeus indicus
Lineage: Eukaryota; Metazoa; Arthropoda; Malacostraca; Decapoda; Penaeidae
Exons: 2
Source: RefSeq, a predicted model, not a curated record